RNAcentral lists this long non-coding RNA (1418 nucleotides) under Mustela putorius furo (domestic ferret). Its description in RNAcentral is "lncRNA (ENSMPUG00000026175.1)". The record is from RNAcentral. Lineage: Eukaryota; Metazoa; Chordata; Mammalia; Carnivora; Mustelidae.
GCUUGCUAUAGGAAUGGAGAAUAACAGCUCCAAAACUAGAUUUCCACAGUUAAAGAAGAUAGAGGAUUGAGGCAUCCAUCCAGGGAAAAUAUGUUUUCAGUUCCAGUGCAUGUUUCUGGAAGUACCUUCCACGUCAUCACCAUCCCAGCUUCUAGAAGAGUGGGCAAGACUGCCGUUCACAGCAGAGACGGGAAAGGUCCAGGGCUCGACCUCACUGCAGAGACAGCCCCCUCCUCGCCGUUCCCCGCCCCAGCUGGACGGAUGUACAGAGGCAGAUGAAGAACUCCCUCAUCAGAUAGUGGCACCCUGCUCCUUGUACUUCCUUAGCCACAGGCCCCAGAACUUACCAGUUACUGUUCAUUUUAGGAAAUAGCAUUUACUGAUGAAAAGCUCUUGCUAAAAUUUGAGGUUUACUCAAUUCUUACUCAUCCCUCCUGAGGGAAGAAUACAGAAAGAAACAGUCUGGUAAAAAAGGAUGGUUGUUGUGAUGCAGUGUCACUCGCCUCGGCCUUUUCUCCAUCCUCAACACCUCCCAAGCCCCACUCACUUAGCGAGUGUCAGGAUCGUGAAAAUUGGAACUUCCGUACGGGCCGCUAUAUAGAGUUUAUUGAGUAGCUAGAAGGGAAGAGCUGCCAGGAAGAUCAGGACAUGAGGGCAUUCUCAGGCUUUGAUAAGCCAGUGAAUUCCCUGUAAUAAAAUUUGUUGAAAAUAGCUACUUGUAACCCCAUGUUGGAAACAUGCUUCUCCAUUCUUCAGAUGAUGUCCAGCUCAGAGGACUUGUGAUCUGUGUUAAGGAACAGUUAGCCCAGAGAUAACCAGCACACUGGAAAACGGGCCCAAGCUAACCAAAGGAGGGUUGAUAGGAAUAAGUGAUCAAAGUCUUGCAGUUUGGCAAAAAAUACAGAGGGAAAUGGAGGUAUAACUAAGUGUGCAAAAAGGCCUCUGGUUGGUUUGACCAUAAAUGAAUAUUAGCCAAUAAACUGAACUAGCUGCUUAGACCAUUCACAUAGCUUAACCUACAUAAAUAAAAUUGCAAUAUUUCAAGAAAGAAAUGAGAUCAUCCUACUGCAUAGACAUUAAAAUUCUAAUACUAAAGUGCAACUCUACGCGGAGUUUAUUAGAAUCUGGACACUUCCCCCUCCCCACUCCACAGCAACAUUGUUUUUGGUAGUGUACACUCAGGUUUUCCUGCUGAAAUGUUAUUACAAUAGUAGUUAGAACCCCACAUUAGCCUCAAGGCCAACAGUCUUUUUUCCCCUCUUUUUUUUUUUUUUUUAAAGAGAGAGCACACAAGCAGUGGGGAGGGACAGAGGAGAAGCAGACUCCUCGCUGAGCAGGGAGCACAAUGCAGGACUGAUCCCAGGAUGCCAGGAUCAUGACCUGAGCUGAAGGUAGACACUUAACCAGCUGAAGUUGCC